Molecule: ribosomal RNA, 401 nt
Filed under: uncultured bacterium
Lineage: Bacteria
Description: bacterial SSU rRNA
Rfam family: Bacterial small subunit ribosomal RNA
Source: RNAcentral
GGAGUGUGGGGGAGUACCCCGGGAAACGUCGGGACAAUACCGCAUGAUGUCUCUCGGGCGUCGGCCCGGGAGAGCAAGCCGGGGACCGCAAGGCCUGGCGCAUCCGGAGGGGACCGCGGCCGAUUAGCUAGUUGGCGGGGUAAUGGCCCACCCAAGGCGACGAUCGGUAGCCGGCCUGAGAGGGUGAUCGGCCACCACCGGAACUGAGACACGGUCCGGACUCCUACGGGAGGGCAGCAGUGGGGAAUUUUGCGCAAUGGGCGAAAGCCUGACGCAGCAACGCCGCGUGGAGGAUGAAGGUGCUCUGCAUUGUAAACUCCUGUCGGCCGGGAAGAAUCGGCGGGGUGCUAAUCAGCCCCGUCUUGACUGUACCGGCAAAGGAAGCCCCGGCUAACUCCGUG